RNAcentral lists this non-coding RNA (45 nucleotides) under Schistosoma mattheei. Lineage: Eukaryota; Metazoa; Platyhelminthes; Trematoda; Strigeidida; Schistosomatidae. The record is from RNAcentral.
AUUCAACUGACAAGUUUCAAAUAGGACGAAAUGGACGUCUAGGAU